This 251-nucleotide ribosomal RNA is filed under the name uncultured bacterium. RNAcentral's name for it is "partial 16S ribosomal RNA". It matches the Rfam family "Bacterial small subunit ribosomal RNA", at positions 525 to 775 of the family's 1533-position model. The record is from RNAcentral.
ACGGAGGGCGCAAGCGUUAUCCGGAUUCAUUGGGUUUAAAGGGUGCUUAGGCGGUUCUUUAAGUUAGAGGUGAAAUCCCGUGGCUCAACCAAGGAACUGCCUCUGAUACUGGAGAGCUAGCGAGUAGAUGCUGUUGGCGGAAUGUGUGGUUUAGCGGUGAAAUGCUUAGAGAUCACACAGAACACCGAUUGCGAAGGCAGCUGACAAAUCUAUUUCGGACGCUGAGGCACGAAAGCGUGGGGAGCAAAAAG